This 322-nucleotide ribosomal RNA is filed under the name uncultured eukaryote. Its description in RNAcentral is "partial 18S ribosomal RNA". It matches the Rfam family "Eukaryotic small subunit ribosomal RNA", at positions 1470 to 1796 of the family's 1831-position model. The record is from RNAcentral.
CCCUUAGAUGUUCUGGGCCGCACGCGUGCUACACUGAGUGGAUCAGCGGGUCAGGUUGCGCGAAAGUGUUUCCUAAUCUUUAAAUCCGCUCGUGAUGGGGAUUGACGGUUGCAAUUUUCCGUCAUGAACGAGGAAUACCUUGUAAGCGCGGGUCAUCAUCCCGCGCUGAAUACGUCCCUGCCCUUUGUACACACCGCCCGUCGCUCCUACCGAUUGAGUGGUCCGGUGAGGCUUUGGGAUCUGAGCGGAAAGAGCGUUUCGCUGUCUCUGCCCGGAAAACUCAGUCGAACCUUAUCAUUUAGAGGAAGGAGAAGUCGUAACA